Molecule: long non-coding RNA, 450 nt
Filed under: Numida meleagris (helmeted guineafowl)
Lineage: Eukaryota; Metazoa; Chordata; Aves; Galliformes; Numididae
Description: lncRNA (ENSNMEG00000019768.1)
Source: RNAcentral
UACAAAAAAACUGAAACCUAAUGAGAUACUAUUUUCACAUAAAAUUGACUUUCCCCCCUAGGUAUUCUUGUGCAAUUGACUGGUGAAUGACACAGAAGAGAGAUACCCAACUGACAAGUCCACUAGAAGCAUUAAUGCUGUCCUAGCAGUGUGCCGUAGACUAGACCAAAGAGAGAGUCCUCAGAUCUCAGGACUGGGAGGUAGCUGGCAGGCUAUACACCUUAAUGGACUGAACCGUGGCUGAGAUCUGUUGUGGUUGCUUCCUGAGCCAGUGACUGAUUAUCUGGGCGUGUGGAUUACACUGAAACCAUAUAAUCAGUGCUAAAGGGAUUGCUGGUCUGUCCUUGCUAGAACCCUCAGAGAUGACCAACAGGAAGGACAAAAGGUACAGUGUCUGCUUAAUAAGUCAGAACAGUUGAGGCUGAAAGGUAUUUAGAAGAUGGACUUCAA